RNAcentral lists this transfer RNA (66 nucleotides) under Dicrostonyx torquatus (Arctic lemming). RNAcentral describes it as "tRNA-Tyr". It matches the Rfam family "tRNA". Rfam says of the family: Transfer RNA (tRNA) molecules are approximately 80 nucleotides in length. Their secondary structure includes four short double-helical elements and three loops (D, anti-codon, and T loops). Further hydrogen bonds mediate the characteristic L-shaped molecular structure. tRNAs have two regions of fundamental functional importance: the anti-codon, which is responsible for specific mRNA codon recognition, and the 3' end, to which the tRNAs corresponding amino acid is attached (by aminoacyl-tRNA synthetases). tRNAs cope with the degeneracy of the genetic code in two manners: having more than one tRNA (with a specific anti-codon) for a particular amino acid; and 'wobble' base-pairing, i.e. permitting non-standard base-pairing at the 3rd anti-codon position. The record is from RNAcentral. Lineage: Eukaryota; Metazoa; Chordata; Mammalia; Rodentia; Cricetidae.
GGUAAAAUGGCUGAGUAAAGCAUUAGACUGUAAAUCUAAGCACAGAGGUAAUGCCUCUUUUUGCCA